RNAcentral lists this ribosomal RNA (407 nucleotides) under uncultured bacterium. RNAcentral's name for it is "partial 16S ribosomal RNA". It matches the Rfam family "Bacterial small subunit ribosomal RNA", at positions 28 to 526 of the family's 1533-position model. The record is from RNAcentral.
GACGAACGCUGGCGGCGUGCCUAAUACAUGCAAGUAGGACGCAGUUGCGAACGGGUGAGUAACGCGUAGGUAACUACCUACUAGAGGGGGAUAACUAUUGGAAACGAUAGCUAAUACCGCAUAAUAGUAGAUGGACCUGCGUUGUAUUAGGUAGUAGGUAGGGUAAUGGCCUACCUAGGCAACGAAACAUAGCCGACCUGAGCUGGGGAUCGGCCACACUGGGGCUGAGGCACGGCCCAGACUCCUACGGGGAGGAGCAGUAAGGAAUCUUCGGGCAUGGGGGGAAAGCUGACCGAGCAACGCCGCGUGAGUGGAGGAGGUUUUCGGAUCGUAAAGCUCUGUUGUUAAGGGAGCGGUACUUAACCAGAAAGGGACGGCUAACUACGUGCCAGCAGCCGCGGUAAUUC